UGGCACUGCUUGCAACCAAGAAGAAAGAAUAACAUGAGAUAAGUGUCAGUUCUACACUUGUAUCAUCUGUGGGCCAAAUUCAUAAAAAGUUGUUAGUUAAACAGGGGAAACAAACAACUUGCCAGAAGACUGAUAAAAAUGCAGCAAUAGUAAAAACAAAAGUACUGAAUUCCAGUAGGGCAGUUAUGCACCUGAUCUAUUGAUGGAGGGAAGCCCAAAUUGCAGCUAAUUAGUCCAGAAAUCAGACAGCAAAGGCAGCGAAGACUUUGACAAAAUGAAUAGGGAUUACAGAAAUGGAAUUGUAUAUAGUUUAAGACCACUCUAUUCAUUGUAUAUACUGUAAUUGCAGUCCAUCUAUCUAUCUAGCUGUCAAUCAAAAAUUACAGAAAUACAUCUAUC
RNAcentral lists this long non-coding RNA (399 nucleotides) under Panax ginseng (ginseng). Its description in RNAcentral is "long non-coding RNA (PGIN_LNC001081)". Lineage: Eukaryota; Viridiplantae; Streptophyta; Magnoliopsida; Apiales; Araliaceae. The record is from RNAcentral.